RNAcentral lists this unclassified non-coding RNA (373 nucleotides) under soil metagenome. Its description in RNAcentral is "partial contains 5.8S ribosomal RNA, internal transcribed spacer 2, and large subunit ribosomal RNA". The stretch from base 1 to 121 matches the Rfam family "5.8S ribosomal RNA", at positions 35 to 154 of the family's 154-position model. The record is from RNAcentral.
GAUGAAGAACGUAGCGAAAUGCGAUAAGUAAUGCGAAUUGCAGAAUUCCAGUGAGUCAUCGAAUCUUUGAACGUACAUUGCACCCUUUGGUAUUCCGAAGGGCAUGCCUGUUCGAGCGUCAUUAUCACCCCUCAAGCCCUCGGCUUGGUGUUGGACGGUUUGGUGGAGGCCCCCUCGGGGGCUCCUGCCCCUCCCAAAGACAAUGACGGCGGCCUCGUUGGACCCCCGGUACACUGAGUUCUUCACGGGACACGUAUCGGACACAUGGGUUUACGGGACACGGUCUGCCUCCCCUCAGGGAGAAUCUUUCUAAGGUUGACCUCGGAUCAGGUAGGGAUACCCGCUGAACUUAAGCAUAUCAAUAAGCGGAGGA